CAUCUUCUUUCUCUUUCUUGUGA
Molecule: non-coding RNA, 23 nt
Filed under: Rattus norvegicus (Norway rat)
Lineage: Eukaryota; Metazoa; Chordata; Mammalia; Rodentia; Muridae
Source: RNAcentral